This 305-nucleotide ribosomal RNA is filed under the name uncultured bacterium. RNAcentral describes it as "bacterial SSU rRNA". It matches the Rfam family "Bacterial small subunit ribosomal RNA", at positions 338 to 661 of the family's 1533-position model. The record is from RNAcentral.
CCUACGGGGCGCAGCAGUGGGGAAUAUUGCACAAUGGGGGGAACCCUGAUGCAGCGACGCCGCGUGGGUGAGGAAGUACUUCGGUAUGUAAAGCCCUAUCAGCAGGGAAGAAAAUGACGGUACCUGACUAAGAAGCCCCGGCUAACUACGUGCCAGCAGCCGCGGUAAUACGGAGGAUGCGAGCGUUAUCCGGAUUUAUUGGGUUUAAAGGGUGCGUAGGCGGACAGUCAAGUCAGCGGUAAAAAUGCGGUGCUCAACGCCGUACAGCCGUUGAAACUGGCAGUCUUGAGUGGGCGAGAAGUAUG